Tripterygium wilfordii is the source of this 2689-nucleotide long non-coding RNA. RefSeq lists it as uncharacterized. The record is from RefSeq and is a predicted model, not a curated record. Lineage: Eukaryota; Viridiplantae; Streptophyta; Magnoliopsida; Celastrales; Celastraceae. The transcript has 2 exons.
AAAUAUCAAUUAAUUUCUAAACCCUAAUUCGGGGUCCUUUGUUCUAUAUAUAAUCGGCGGAAGCCAUGAACCCUAGACGUCGCGCCCCUGUAAUUCUCUUCAUGCGAAUGCCUUUGGGUCCUUCUUAGUUCUUACUUCUCGUCUGGUAAUUCAGUAUUUUUUAGUUUUGAUUGGUUGUUUGUUUGCUGAAGAAGAUCUUUGUCGAUGGUUAUGCCGUCGUUGCAUUGAAUUUUCUCUUACUUUCGUUUUAUUUGUGUAAAAUUAAUGCCUGUGAUCAUGAUGAGAUUAAAUAUACUUUGAGAGUUAUUUCUAUGAAAUUAAUUUAAUCCUAGGCAGUCAGGAAAAAUUUUUUUUGAUCUCGCUCUUCUUGGUACUAAAAUUUUUGCCUGUAAUUAGAUACUAAAAUUUUCUUGGUAGAUCGCUUUCUGUCAUGGAACUUGCUUAUAGUAGCUGGUGUGUGAUAAUAGGUGUCUAUUAUAAAGCUUUUCUAUGCAAGUGAUGAGAAAAUAGACAGGGACAUCAGUACUCUAUACGAGAAUGUUGACUCAGUCUUUGGGAAUCUCUCUGAUGCUUGAUGCAUAUAGGAAAUCAGCAAGCUUUAGUAGUUGAACAUCUAAAUUUGUAUAUUAAAGUCUGUUUAAUGCUGUAGUUUCUGUUUUUUUUUUAUCUUUACUUGUCAAUUCCUUAUACAAAUUAUUGUCUUUACCAGAUGCUCUACUUUUGCAAACUCCUAGUGGUUUUUGAUGUGAUUGAAACUGCUUAAUUUUUCUUAGCUAAUUCAGCUCUUUUGAGAAUUACCGUUCUUAUGAUUCUUGUUGCCUUUUAGAAUUUAUCGUUUAAAUUAUGAUCAUAUUAGUUAACAGAUUUUGGCUUUAUAUUUUUUUUUUCAACAAGGUGUAGUUUACAUUUUCUUGUCAACAAGGUAUAGUUUGUGCAAGUGACGAUAAAUCAGACAGGGACAUCAGAACUCUGCUUGAUUAUGAUGAGUUGUCUUUGGGAAUCUCUCUGAUGCACAUGACAUUGCAUUCGGCUUUCUCUUACCUUUAUCAGUUGCUUAUGUUUCUGUUUCAUGCAUUAUUGUAUAUUUAUCCCAAUUUCUGGUAUAAUAGAAUUUUUCUGUAGGCCAGUGAUGCAAUUCAUUGCACGUAUUAUCAGAUAACUAACGAUGAUACCUUAUUGUCACUACCUCUGAGGCCUCAGAUAGAAGUUUUUACUUUUUUUCUUCUUUCUUUACUUAUAAUCAAUUAUUUCCUUUUUCUAUGGACUAUUUUGACACUACAAAAGUUUUGGGUCACUAAAUCUACAUUGAAGUUUGAAGUAUAGCAGUUGUUGUUGUUUAUACCUCCAUGACAAUAACUUGCAGUUUUGUAUUUCCUUGCCCUUUGGCGGGUGUUUGCAUUGGUUUAAUCUUUAUUCUUCCUUUUUCUUAUGUCAUGUUGGAUUAUUGUUUCCGAAUUCAAUUAGACAGCCUUGUGAUUAUCCCAUAAGAACGGAGAUUUGAAUGGUGUUAUUGUAGUAGCCUAAGUACAAUUGGGCUCCAAAAGCAUUCCGUGUAAUAAUUUCUCAAGUUGAAUAUGAAGGCUUGCAUUCUGGACUAGUGUUUGUUUAUUGAUGUCCAGGUAUAUUCUGGAAUAUAUAGGGUCAUUAUUUCAACUGGGUUCUGAUUAUUACAGUUUUAAGUGAGCUUUUGAAAAUUGCUUUAGAGAAUUAUUUUACUUUUCUAAAGCAAUUUUACUGUGAAAUUAUAUAAAUUGUCUCUUCUUGGCUGUUAUGAUUAUUUUUUAAUGAUUAGAUUAUUACUUUGUUGGGUGUCAAUUUUUUAUGGUUGGUUUGAAGAAAGUAGUGUUCAUUUGAUAUGGUAUGCCAAAGGUCCUAGUGGUUGAGAGAAAGUGAUGCGCAGCUCAUAGAUACUAUGAUAUUAUUCAUGUAUCACAAGGAAAUUCAAAGCUGGAGGAGCAAUAUGUAGACACAGAGACCCCCUUGACACUAAGGUUUGGAGGCAUUGUGAAUUUAUUUAUCCCCAGAUGGAAAUUAGGGAGAGAAAUAGAGAGCUCCUUAAGGCUUCACUCUCUUUAUGUAGGAUGAGGUUUAGGGAACUUUAUCAGUUCUUGUCUUCUACUUGGGUCCUCAGGAUCUACGUUUGAGUACUGUGGACAUGCGAUAAGUGAAGCAUUCUUGGUGAAGCAUAUGUGAAUCUCUCUCAAUUGCACAGUUCCAUGAAAAUCUCUAUUGCAAAAAAUUUGUGCUGGUACUCCCAGUGGUUGAAUGCUUGUGCAUUCAUUAUUUAGUUCAAAGGGAGGAACAUCGUCAUUAGGCCAAUACAUUGGCCAUAGACCAUGGAUGACGAAAUGUUCUUUAGUUGGAAACCGACACCUAACAGUGCGAGUGUUACAAUAUGAUUGAGGCCAUCGCAAGCUCAAUUUUACGAAAUCAAAUGGAUGCAGACUCUGCACUUUUGGAUUGAGUGCUGAGAAUGUGAGUAUGUUCACAACAAAUGAAGUAAUUGCAUUCUCAAAUGACAAUUUUCUGGCUAUUGAUUCUAAACAAACAAGAAAACAGAACUCUUAAACUGGUGCGUUGGUUUGUGUUAAUGGGGUUUGUUUUAUAGCACCAGAGUUGCAAUUAAAGCACAUUACCUUUCUGUGUUUAAUUAUAUUAAACCUCGAGUGCAUCACAUUUGGGACAAUAA